GAGUUUGAUCGUGGCUCAGAUUGAACGCUGGCGGCAUGACCUUACACAUGCAAGUCGAACGGCAGCAUGAUCUAGCUUGCUAGAUUGAUGGCGAGUGGCGAACGGGUGAGUAAUACAUCGGAACGUGCCCUGUAGUGGGGGAUAACUAGUCGAAAGAUUAGCUAAUACCGCAUACGACCUGAGGGUGAAAGUGGGGGACCGCAAGGCCUCAUGCUAUAGGAGCGGCCGAUGUCUGAUUAGCUAGUUGGUGGGGUAAAGGCCCACCAAGGCGACGAUCAGUAGCUGGUCUGAGAGGACGAUCAGCCACACUGGGACUGAGACACGGCCCAGACUCCUACGGGAGGCAGCAGUGGGGAAUUUUGGACAAUGGGCGAAAGCCUGAUCCAGCAAUGCCGCGUGUGUG
This 403-nucleotide ribosomal RNA is filed under the name uncultured microorganism. RNAcentral describes it as "bacterial SSU rRNA". It matches the Rfam family "Bacterial small subunit ribosomal RNA", at positions 9 to 407 of the family's 1533-position model. The record is from RNAcentral.